GGAGCUACCAUUUGAUUUUUAUGGGGGGCUAGGAUGAAAAAUUUUGUCCUGCAUUUUUUUUUAGCUGUAAUCUCUGUCCUGCCUUUUUAUUUUUCACUCUAAUCGGUCCUGCCUUUUUUUUUUUAGUUUAUCCUGACUUUUUUUUACCUAAAUUGUCGUCCUGACAUUUUUUUUUUUGCAAGUGUCACAUCCUGCCUUUUUUUUUACUCAAAACUCCUGUCCUGCCUAUUUUUUUCAAAUUUCAUCCUAGCCCCCCCCCCCCAUAAAAAUCAAAUGGUAGC
RNAcentral lists this long non-coding RNA (281 nucleotides) under Mytilus galloprovincialis (Mediterranean mussel). The record is from RNAcentral. Lineage: Eukaryota; Metazoa; Mollusca; Bivalvia; Mytilida; Mytilidae.